CAACAGCUGAGGUGAAGAUAUGUUCUAAACUGCAAAUGGAUUCUCUAGAUUGAACAUAUCUUACUUACUAGUUAAUAAUGUUAUCUCAAUUGGAUAAGAUGAUAAUGGCCAUUCAUAUUAGAAUAUGACGAAUGGCACAAAUUAUAUUCUGCUUGAUGCAAGUACAUAUUGAUGUGGUCCUCUUUUCAGACUUGCUCAGGCCCUGGGCUCCUAAACAGUCUCUGACUGCUUUGUCUGUUGGAAGUAUAUUAUUUUCUUUUUCCAAUUCAUAUAUGUUGUUGACAUGGCUAUUUCAAGGAGUUGUACGUAGGUCUAGUGCUUGGUAUGUUGUCCGGAGGUACAAAUCCUUGGUUUAAUCCCACUAAUAUGUCUUUUUUGAAUGAACAAGAUGGUCAGAGAUCGUCAGUAAUUUUAUUGAAAGUUUGUGUAUAUAUGAAGAUAUUUUUGUUUUCCAGAUCACUUUCCGUUUUGUAUGAGUUUGCAUUUAGUAGGAAAAGUGGUAGAUUAGUGUAACAGUGAGCAAGUGAUCAAAGAUGAGAAGUUGAGCAUCGGUUACACUAAUUUUUAGCUGUCCGAUUAUUUUAUAUAACUACACUCAUCGAGGGAUUCAUGGAAGAACUGGAGAUACAGUGAGUAGGAUCCAUCAAGACAGCCCCAAGUAGAUAUGCUUGUUUGUUAUGUUGUUGUGGAAAAUCUACCUGGCAAUUUGUCUCAUUGUGGAUAUCCAAAAGCUGAUACAUUGGCUAAUGAAGGGGCCCGUGGAGAGUACACUCAUAACUACGGCUAAUUGUGGGGACGCGGGACCCCAUCUGACGUUGUUUUAAGCUUGAACCGCAUGACUGUUUGUUACUUUAAUGCAUCUGUUUUCAUUCUGUAACAUUACCAGAAUGAAACAGCUUGUUCUUGUAGUUAUGAUGUUAUCAUAUAAAAGCAGCCUUUCCUGAAUUCCAGUCUUUCAGAAUUCAUGGUCAUUAUGCUUUUAAUGAUUCAUAGGGCGAAAACAGAAUUUUCAAACUCCACAAGACUUUUCCAGGUGAGCUCACUAUCCCUUACGUCCACCAUGUCCAGGAUCAUUCUUGAGACUUGAAAACGUAAUUGGGGAAUAUUUGCUUCACUUUCCGUUGUUUCAUUCCGGUGA
RNAcentral lists this long non-coding RNA (1138 nucleotides) under Elaeis guineensis (African oil palm). RNAcentral describes it as "long non-coding RNA (EGUI_LNC003498)". The record is from RNAcentral. Lineage: Eukaryota; Viridiplantae; Streptophyta; Magnoliopsida; Arecales; Arecaceae.